Gossypium hirsutum (cotton) is the source of this 145-nucleotide non-coding RNA. The record is from Rfam. NCBI's taxonomy places the organism in Eukaryota, Viridiplantae, Streptophyta, Magnoliopsida, Malvales, Malvaceae.
UGUUAAAAAUUUCAUUCAUUUCUACUGUUAAAAACCGACAUUAUUGAAAGAAUAACCAAACAAUAACACGUGGCAUGUCACUUAUUCUUUAUGCUGACAUAGAAUGACCAAUUUUUAACCGUAAAUAUGAAUAAAACUUUUAAUA